Molecule: ribosomal RNA, 468 nt
Filed under: uncultured bacterium
Lineage: Bacteria
Description: partial 16S ribosomal RNA
Rfam family: Bacterial small subunit ribosomal RNA
Source: RNAcentral
GACGAACGCUGGCGGCGUGCUUAACACAUGCAAGUCGAACGGAAAGGCCCUGCUUUUGUGGGGUGCUCGAGUGGCGAACGGGUGAGUAACACGUGAGUAACCUGCCCUUGACUUUGGGAUAACUUCAGGAAACUGGGGCUAAUACCGGAUAGGAGCUCCUGCUGCAUGGUGGGGGUUGGAAAGUUUCGGCGGUUGGGGAUGGACUCGCGGCGUAUCAGCUUGUUGGUGGGGUAGUGGCUUACCAAGGCUUUGACGGGUAGCCGGCCUGAGAGGGUGACCGGCCACACUGGGACUGAGAUGCGGCCCAGACUCCUACGGGAGGCAGCAGUGGGGAAUAUUGCACAAUGGGCGGAAGCCUGAUGCAGCAACGCCGCGUGCGGGAUGACGGCCUUCGGGUUGUAAACCGCUUUCGCCUGUGACGAAGCGUGAGUGACGGUAAUGGGUAAAGAAGCACCGGCUAACUACGUG